UCCAGACUCCUACGGGAGGCAGCAGUGAGGAAUAUUGGUCAAUGGGCGGAAGCCUGAACCAGCCAAGUCGCGUGAGGGAAUAAGGCCCUACGGGUCGUAAACCUCUUUUGCCGGGGAGCAAGGGCGGGGACGUGUCCCGGCCCGGAGAGUACCCGGAGAAAAAGCAUCGGCUAACUCCGUGCCAGCAGCCGCGGUAAUACGGAGGAUGCGAGCGUUAUCCGGAUUUAUUGGGUUUAAAGGGUGCGUAGGCGGGCUUUUAAGUCAGGGGUAAAAGCCCGGGGCCCACCCCCGGCGAGCCGUUGAAACUGGCUGUCUUGAGAUGUCGAGAGGUAUGCGGAAUGCGCAGUGUAGCGGUGAAAUGCUUAGAUAUCGCGCAGAACCCCGAUUGCGAAGGCAGCGUACCGGCUCCACACUGACGCUGAGGCACGAAAGCGUGGGUAUCGAACAGGAUUAGAUACCCGCGUAAG
This 467-nucleotide ribosomal RNA is filed under the name uncultured bacterium. RNAcentral's name for it is "bacterial SSU rRNA". It matches the Rfam family "Bacterial small subunit ribosomal RNA", at positions 330 to 793 of the family's 1533-position model. The record is from RNAcentral.